This 504-nucleotide ribosomal RNA is filed under the name uncultured Enterobacteriaceae bacterium. Its description in RNAcentral is "bacterial SSU rRNA". It matches the Rfam family "Bacterial small subunit ribosomal RNA", at positions 30 to 522 of the family's 1533-position model. The record is from RNAcentral. Lineage: Bacteria; Pseudomonadati; Pseudomonadota; Gammaproteobacteria; Enterobacterales; Enterobacteriaceae.
AUUGAACGCUGGCGGCAGGCCUAACACAUGCAAGUCGAACGGUAACAGGAAACAGCUUGCUGUUUCGCUGACGAGUGGCGGACGGGUGAGUAAUGUCUGGGAAACUGCCUGAUGGAGGGGGAUAACUACUGGAAACGGUAGCUAAUACCGCAUAACGUCGCAAGACCAAAGAGGGGGACCUUCGGGCCUCUUGCCAUCAGAUGUGCCCAGAUGGGAUUAGCUAGUAGGUGGGGUAACGGCUCACCUAGGCGACGAUCCCUAGCUGGUCUGAGAGGAUGACCAGCCACACUGGAACUGAGACACGGUCCAGACUCCUACGGGAGGCAGCAGUGGGGAAUAUUGCACAAUGGGCGCAAGCCUGAUGCAGCCAUGCCGCGUGUAUGAAGAAGGCCUUCGGGUUGUAAAGUACUUUCAGCGGGGAGGAAGGGAGUAAAGUUAAUACCUUUGCUCAUUGACGUUACCCGCAAAAGAAGACCGGCUAACUCUGUCUCCACAGUCGCGGUA